Molecule: long non-coding RNA, 321 nt
Filed under: Canis lupus familiaris (dog)
Lineage: Eukaryota; Metazoa; Chordata; Mammalia; Carnivora; Canidae
Description: lncRNA (ENSCAFG00030016470.1)
Source: RNAcentral
UGGCCAAAAUUAUUAUGGCUUCCUCUUAUAGAAUAUAUUAUUUGGCAAAAUGCAAGUUCCUUGGGGACCAGGAAUUUUGAAACGUUCAUCAGGAUGUCCUCUGGGGCUCGUAGAAAGUUGUUUGCUCGGUGCUCCAGGGAAUGGGUAACCAGCAGAAGCAGCGAACAACCACAGCUGAAAAACAGGGCGUUUUCAGGAUACAGACUGGCUGGGAUCAGAAGCGGAACUGCUUAUCGAGAAGCCAUCUCUUCCCCAACUUGUGACUUUAAGGAUGAGUGGGCAUUUUUGCAAAGGUUCAUUAGUGGAUUAGGAGAGAUUUGA